This 573-nucleotide long non-coding RNA is filed under the name Haliotis rubra (blacklip abalone). RNAcentral's name for it is "uncharacterized LOC124254928, transcript variant X2". The record is from RNAcentral. Lineage: Eukaryota; Metazoa; Mollusca; Gastropoda; Lepetellida; Haliotidae.
GACGUCAUUGCCCAACAUGGCGGGUAGUAAGGUGCUUGCUUCCUGAACUACUCACAUACACAUUGUUUUUGCAGGUGGUGAAGUGAAGGCACUGUUGCUGUGUAGUAAGAUAUUCACCAACACCUCCAUGCAGGGAAUGGACUGCAGCUAGUGGUGUCAGUGUCACGUGGACAGCCAGAGGUAGCAGUAUUUGACCACGGUGUUCAGAGUGUGGCAGUAAAACUAGUUGCCAUGACGACGCUUGUACCUGUACAAGGCGUUACAUCACUACAGCCCGGAAGAACAUAAUCAUGACAGUAGUUGUUACAUCCAGAUAGAUCCUGGCGAUAAUCUAGAAUUAACUUCAGCCGAUUUGGAUCAAACGGAUGACAUCGAGGAGCCAGUAGGUUGGUUUCAUGGUCGCAACUUGACCAAAGGGACAUUGGGGCAGUUCCCAGGUCACCCGUACAUUGAGUUCAUUCGCAAGAUGCCGAUUCCGGCCAGGCGGCCAUCUUUGACCAAUGGGCUGGACAACACCUGUGAUGACAGCGGCUAUGGAGGCACCCCUAGACGUAAGUUGAGAAUUUUUCCUUU